Long non-coding RNA from Plutella xylostella (diamondback moth), 2386 nucleotides. RefSeq lists it as uncharacterized. The record is from RefSeq and is a predicted model, not a curated record. NCBI's taxonomy places the organism in Eukaryota, Metazoa, Arthropoda, Insecta, Lepidoptera, Plutellidae.
CAUCGUAACUUGCUUCAAAAUAAAUUAACACCAUUAAAUUUGCCACCUCCAUGAUUCCCCAAAUUAACGAAUGCCCACAACUGAAUCGAGCCAAUCAGAGCUUCCACUAUCCACCGUCUAUAAAACUAACACCAAUGCUUGAUUUCAGCGGUUUUAAUAUCAAGGAACGGCAGGCGUCCACUGCUGUCCUUCAGAAACUACUCUUUCUACCUUCAGAACAAUCGUCUGACGAUGUUAUGGUACUGCAGUCAGCGGCGCACCCUGGGCUGCAAGUCGUGGCUGCGGACUACUCAGAUGCAGCCCGAGACCGUCACCGGGGCCUCCCUUGUGCACAACCACGACCCUACGUAUACUCGGACGUGCGAGGAUUUCUGGCUCCCUACCAUUAAACGGUUUCGGAAGUAGAGAUAUAGGUGUGAAGUUAUGCUAGUCGCAGUAGACCCACCAGCUUCAUCAUCAUUGCAACCCCUCAUCUCCUCACUGCUGAGGCUCGGGUCUCUUUCCAAUUGAGGAAGGGUUUUAGGCCUAGUCCACCACGUUCGCUUAGUGUGGGUUGGUGUACCCAAAAGCUUCCCUAUAUGAUCUUGUGGACGAUCUCUGAGAUAUGCUCUUGAUCGUGUGGGUACAAAAUAUAGGGCACAGUCAACAUUCCUAUACAUAGUAUGGAUAUUUGUUAUUAUUUAAAAGAUUGUUUAGUGGUGUUUUAAUUGAAGUUCCUUGUUGCCAUGUGAUAAAUAUGUAAUAUUAGAUUACUUUGUGAAAACUUUUAAAGCUUAAACUUACCCAUAAAUGUACAACAGCUACACGCACCUAGUCGCUUUUGAAUAGGUACGCAAAGGGCACUCACGAAUGUUAGCAACUCUUUACUUAUUGCAGUGGUAGUCUCACUGAAAAUUUGUUAAAACAACAUGGUGAAUUUUUAGUUAAUCGCAAUGUACACAUGUAUUAUCUAUUAUGAUGAAUAAUAUAUAUUUUAAAACAAUGAAAGCUUGAUUUGCCCUCUUUUUGUUUUUUCGUCAUAAUGUAGAAGUAUCAAUCAGAUCCACUAAGCACACAAGAACUCUAUAGAGACUGCUAUAGUAUAUACCUACUGAUAAUUUAAAUCCACGCAAAACAGUUCACAUAUAAUUCUUGUGUGCCUGAUUGAUAACAUACGCCAACUUAAUAAUAGUACAAAAGGUAUCAUAGCCUAUAACCCAGACAACCUUCGAAAUUCUUAUUAAUCAUAAUUUCAUUUUCAAGGUGUAUUAAUAUCUACAAGCCAAAAAAAGAAACCACUAUUGUUAUACAAAAACUACACAUUCUUCAUUAAAACUGAGCGGAGUUCACUGCUGUGGUACUGCUCAGGCCGCGCUGCGGGCUGCCGGGCCUCGCUGAGGUCAGAGCGAGACAACCCGACACUGGUGACGAGCGAGUCACUGACACACAACCACGACCCGCCCAGCUACGUACAGACGAAAAACGGAACGUGGGUCAAGGUGUAUUAAUAAAGACAACUAACGGUAAACGUCCACUGCUGUUGUACAAAAACUACACAUUCUUCAUUAAAGUGGAGUCGUACACGCUACUGUGGUACUGCUCGAGCCGCAAGGCGGGCUGCCGGGCGUCGCUGAAGUCAGUGAGAGACAACCCGACACUGGUGACGAGCGAGUCACUGCAACACAACCACGACCCGCCGAACUACCAUCAGACUAAAAACGGAACGUGGGUCAAGAUUUAAAAUAAACUCAUAUGAAUAUUGGAAAUACCUGUGUAAUUUUUUCUGUAAAUAAAAUUUAUGUUUCCUGUCAUGAUUGAGGUUUGAUGAUCGAUGAUCUCUCUGAAGUAUACAUUAUGUGUGCGGAAGAAAAUUGACGCCUGUCUUUCUUGUUAUUAUCUGCUAUCACAAUUAACAAUUUUAUUUAUUUUGUUGGUUUUUAGGCAUACUUAUAAAAACAAGGACUGGUCUACGCCCAAUGCUAAUGUACAAAAACUAUACGUUCAAACUUCACAACCACGGGCAACGGUUGAAGUGGCUUUGGUAUUGCUCGUCUAGAUAUGCUGGGUGCAGAGCGUACGUGAGUUCCAAUAGAGACAAUCCGUCCCUGGUGACGAGCUCGUCACUGGAUCACAACCACGCGCCGCCACAGUACCACCGGACAGCGGAUGGACGGUGGGUCAAGAUUUAAGGGCCAUGUCCAUAAUGACUAGGCUUUAGGCACUAUAAGGACCCACUUUCGCAACCUACUACAUACGAAUGACACAAAAACGAGUGAGAUUCCAUUGGACCCAAAAUUUUACUUGUAUCAACAUAAUUUUGCUCUACACAAGUAUAGGUACAUAAUUAUAAACAGAUUAAUAAAUAGUUUGUUAAGUUUUCUCGAUAAAUAAAAAUAUUAAUGUUUUA